RNAcentral lists this ribosomal RNA (493 nucleotides) under uncultured Sphingobacteriales bacterium. Its description in RNAcentral is "bacterial SSU rRNA". It matches the Rfam family "Bacterial small subunit ribosomal RNA", at positions 885 to 1382 of the family's 1533-position model. The record is from RNAcentral. Lineage: Bacteria; Pseudomonadati; Bacteroidota; Sphingobacteriia; Sphingobacteriales.
AGCCGCUCAGAACUCAAAGGAAUUGACGGGGCCCGCACAAGCGGAGGAGCAUGUGGUUUAAUUCGAUGAUACGCGAGGAACCUUACCUGGGCUCGAACGUAAGAUGACUGUAGGUGAAAGCUUACAUCUCUUCGGAGCAUUUUACGAGGUGCUGCAUGGUUGUCGUCAGCUCGUGCCGUGAGGUGUCGGGUUAAGUCCCAUAACGAGCGCAACCCCUACCUUUAGUUGCCAUCAGGUUAAGCUGGGGACUCUAAAGGAACUGCCUACGCAAGUAGUGAGGAAGGCGGGGAUGACGUCAAAUCAGCACGGCCCUUACGUCCAGGGCUACACACGUGCUACAAUGGCCGAUACAGAGGGCAGCUACCUGGUGACAGGAUGCAAAUCUCCAAAGUCGGUCUCAGUUCGGAUCGGAGUCUGCAACCCGACUCCGUGAAGUUGGAUUCGCUAGUAAUCGCGCAUCAGCCAUGGCGCGGUGAAUACGUUCCCGGGCCUU